CCUACGGGGGGCAGCAGUGGGGAAUAUUGCACAAUGGGCGCAAGCCUGUUGCAGCCAUGCCGCGUGUGUGAGGAAGGCCUUCGGGUUGUAAAGCACUUUCAGCGGGGAGGAAGGCGUUAAGGUUAAUAACCUUGGCGAUUGACGUUACCCGCAGAAGAAGCACCGGCUAACUCCGUGCCAGCAGCCGCGGUAAUACGGAGGGUGCAAGCGUUAAUCGGAAUUACUGGGCGUAAAGCGCACGCAGGCGGUCUGUCAAGUCGGAUGCGAAAUCCCCGGGCUCAACCUGGGAACUGCAUUCGAAACUGGCAGGCUAGAGUCUUGUAGAGGGGGGUAGAAUUCCAGGUGUAGCGGUGAAAUGCGUAGAGAUCUGGAGGAAUACCGGUGGCGAAGGCGGCCCCCUGGACAAAGACUGACGCUCAGGUGCGAAAGCGUGGGGAGCAAACAGGAUUAGAUACCCGGGUAGUC
This 465-nucleotide ribosomal RNA is filed under the name uncultured Klebsiella sp. RNAcentral describes it as "bacterial SSU rRNA". It matches the Rfam family "Bacterial small subunit ribosomal RNA", at positions 338 to 795 of the family's 1533-position model. Lineage: Bacteria; Pseudomonadati; Pseudomonadota; Gammaproteobacteria; Enterobacterales; Enterobacteriaceae. The record is from RNAcentral.